This is a non-coding RNA of Oryctolagus cuniculus (rabbit), 4713 nucleotides long. NCBI's taxonomy places the organism in Eukaryota, Metazoa, Chordata, Mammalia, Lagomorpha, Leporidae. The record is from RefSeq and is a predicted model, not a curated record.
GGGUCUCACUCUGUGAUCAAAAGGAUAAUGCCAUCAUGGAAAGGCAGGAUGAAUACCAGUGAAGAAUAAAAAAAAAAUGUUUUCCAGCUACAAAUUGACAAAGUAUCAGAAGGCUCUUCCCAGUUCCAGCAAUUGUUAUGAUCAACUGCAGGAUUUGUGCUGUGUGACUACAAGAUGUGUAAUAUCAAAAUGAACCAGGGGAAAACAAAGGUAUUUGCAAUUUUCCAUAUGACUACUGGAGUGUCUUAGGUCCUGAGUGCUGCGGUGUGUGUUAAAUGUAAUUCACAGUUAAUGCCCUACUGCUUUGGAAUUUUAAGAAUCUGCAGCAUACAGAAGUUUCAUGCCAAAAGUAAGAAAGCCUGGAAACCAAAUAUAAAAGGUACUACUCUAUUUUGUAAACCCACCUCUUAGUAAAUGCCAAAAGUUCCUCUCCUCCAAAGAGAACUUGGUGACAUGAUGGAGUUCAAGAGAUAAUAUUUGUAGCAUAUGGCAAAGGUGGAUGUGCUACUGCUUGUUGGAAUGCCUCUGAAUUAAUUCAAUUAUUUCAGAAUCCAAAGUGACUGCCUCAUCGUCCUAUUUCUUAAGGACCACAUCUGGGGCUGGGUGACUGACAAUCAGAACUAAAACACAAUGGUAACAGGAACAAUAGAUCAACAACAGUUGGUCUAAUAUAGUCAUCAAAGACAUGCUAGACCAAUUCAGUUAUAUUAAAAUCUAUGGCUUUGGCUCUGAACCAGUCACAUUUAAUAAGAACUUUGGGUUUAUUCCCACUGACACUGGACGCAGAGCAGACUGAAUUGGUAUAAAUAACUCCAGUCAUUUGAACCCUGACCUUCCAGAGAAUUCAGACCAACAAAAUUAAACUUGUACCUUCCCUCACCAACCCUGAACUACUAGCACCUACUCAGCAAGAGUAGAAUUUGGCAUAGUAAGAAAAGUUCCAGCACAAAGCCAGCCAGAUGGAAAUUGGAUUUAAUACUUUAUACUCUCAGCAGGCCACUGAAAUGAUCUUGUCAUUAAGUUCCUCCAAUCCCAUGUGUAAUUUUAAACAAGCAUUAAACAAAUGCAUUCUUUGAGAGCAAUGGCCACCUGGCUGGACUGGGUUCAGAUCUUUCAGUGAAUAGUCGGGGGCGGGGAGGGGGACUGUUGAAGAUCAUUUUGUUUCUCAACCUCUUCUUCCCAGGUCCCUGAGCUCCUGCUAAUGGAAUUAAGCCUGCACUCUGCAGCACUUCCACAUUUACCACCAGUAAGAGACUGUUCUGUCAAGGCAAGGGCUCGCAAACACAAAUGAAUGUCAUGAUUUAUGGGUCCAGUAAAAAAAUAAAAAGAUAACCUGAUGGUAGACUAAAUUUCUCAUUUUCAAUUGCAAAAGAAAAUGUGAAAUCUGAACAAGAUGCAAAGAAAAUAAAAGACAACCUUUCACAGGAACGGCCUCUCAACAUUUCCUCAUCUUUGUGAUAAAGCAAUAAACACAGGUGUAUUGUACUAACUAUAACGAUGCAAACCUGAAAGGGAAUGUUUUCUCUUGAGAUGGAACAAAGACACUCUAAGGAUCAACAAGAAGCAUUACUCCUAAUGAGGAUUAGUUGAGAGGAGUGAAUCAACAGCACAAGAUUAGGAAUGUUUGACAUGGUUUAUCUGAGUGUUAAAGGUGCAGUCCCCUUUUCUUAAGGUUUAAACCAAUAGCCAAAGCAUUCUGUUGUUUACUUCAUAAGACUUCUCUUACUUACCAAGAAAUGUUUAUAUCUGAUAUUUCAAUGGCAAAUUUUGGAGUCAACAAGGUACUCCAAAGAACAGAUAUUCUUUAUAUAAGCAUUGUUUGAAUACAUAACUAUAAUAGCCUACCAAAUAGCAUGCAUCAAGGAAAAGGAAUUCCAUAAAUUACAGUGAUACUGCUGUUCUUAUAACAUCCUCCUACCAUUCUUUGUGUUCUUACCAUCCAUGGUGCUCUUAUUAGCUAAAAGUCCUAUCUUGAUUUAAUAAGGGGCUUCCUGAUAAUAAGCACUUGUAUUAAAAGGCAUUUUUAAUGCAAUAUCAGUGAGGGAAGGAAUGAUUAGAUGGGAUACAUUUAACAUUUGGCACAUCAAACAUUUUAGACCUUUUUGGGAUAAAACUCAUAGAAUAUUACACAGAAUUUUGCUUUUUUUAUUGUUGUUGUUUUCUUUCUUUCUGUCUGUCUCUCUCUAGUAAACUUUUUAGACCAUUUAUGAUUGAUCUCUGAAGCUGAAAAUGGAGGGUUUACUACACCUUUGACUUCCAGGCUCGUGUGUUUAUGAACAACAAAGGGUAAGGUAUGGAAAUAGAUAUCAAGACGGGGCAAGAGGAGACAGAGAGACAGAGGAGACAGGAAACAGCUAGUUUCCCAGCACAGACACCAAUAGACAGGUAGCAUUGACACUGUACCUAGAGAGGCUGCCCUCGGCGGCCAGGCCCUGGGAGUCAUCGAGGACAUUAGGUUCACUGCAGGAGGGGUAGGGAGAUGAAGCAUUUAGGGAAAGAAAAUGAUAAAAGGAAAGAAAAAAAGAAAAAAAGGCAUGCGAUAUUCUGCUUCCAAGAACCAAAAAUAAAUAAAUUUAACAGAACAAGGAAGGAAAAGGAGACAGUCAACCAUUUCACCUUGUGCUGGGUUUGUCGCGACAUAGGACUCAAGGCAAUGGGGGAGGAAGGACUUUGAAUGAACAACUCUCAGAGGAGUGAUCUAUUUACUGGUCGAAAGUUAAAAUGAGCUCUAACUGGACACACGUGAGCUCUGAAUCACAUUGCAGAAUGAAUCUGUACAGGAUGAAGCUGUCAUUCCUUUGGUAAUCAUAUAAGUAGGUGGUUAUUAUUUUUAACUUAUCUUAUGUACAUGGUGUUUCAGUGAUCAAGAUCCUGCUUCUUAUGCAUUCUUACAUUAUCACACAGAAACCACUUACCAUGAACCACCACAGUCAAACUCUUGGAACUGAUGCCAUUAAGAAAAAAAAGAAAGAACCAAACUUUUCCCGCUGAGUUUGCAAUAAAAAUGCAAGUAAAUGAGUGGAGGGAAGAUAUCAUGGGGAAUUCAUAUGGAACUCACAUUUACCUCCUUACUUUCCAUCCUCUAGUGACAGACUUAUAGAUACCAAAACAAGAAACCUGUCAGUCUGGUAAGAGAAUAAUUACAUCAUUUCUUGAUUUAUUUAGAGGUAGCUAAUCUGAGAUUUGUAAACAGAAACUGUCCUACUUUACUGUCUUUCCUUUGGUGCCUAGCCUUGAGCUAAGUGCACACAAGGCACUCAAUACAGAGCUGUUAAAUUAAAUGGAAAUAAACCAUUUUGAAAACUGGAAUGCCUGUCCCCAAAGAAUUGAGAUUACCUAAAUGCACACUGUAAGAAGGGCCUCUGUCCCCAGGAAGGAGUUCACUGUCUCUAAUAUAUAGAGGUAGUAUUAGCUUCACAAGUCUUCCAAAAACAAUGGCUGAAGCCCAGAGGGUUAAACUAUAUUUUUUCUGCAUUUCUAGCAAGUUAAUAACAGGACAGAUUUUCUCCUUGAAAAUGAAUUAAGUCCUUAAUGGAUAUUUAGAAAGAAAAUUGAUAGCCCAUUUAUUUUAGGUAAGUAACAAAACAACAAAAAAAAACCCUCAUUUAAAAUCCCUCCUAUUCUAUAAUUUUAAAAACAUUUAAAUAAAUUGGUAACUUUAUUCUUGUCAGACUCUUGCACAUUGCUAGUAACUGAAAAUAAAUUGAUAGCCACAAUGUGAACUGCUUUUAUGACUACAUCUUCUUUGGACAUGUUAUUUUUUUGGCUCUGAGUUUGUUUACACAUUUAAUUUUUUUCAAAGGGAAAUUACCAAAUGAUAGGUACAAUAAUCUGUUAGAAUGGCAGGUAUUUUUAUAAAUUAUUAAUAUUUGUAAUAAUGAAAUAGUACUUAACAUAAAAUAUUGUAUUUUUAAAAAGUAUCAAAUUUACUUAAGAAUCAUCUCCUAUCAUGCUCUCCUAAACUUUAAUAUUCUCCAAAUUCAGGUUUGAUUUCACAAAUUUCAUUUCAUCUAUGUAGUUCCUGAACUGUUUGCUAAAGCUUUUUUGGGGGUAUAGGAUAAUUAUUCAUGCAUAUAAAUUUGUUUUAUCUGAACAUUACAAUGUGCCUUGGCUUUUAUCAUUUUCUAUAUAUGCAUUAUACUACUAUGAAUCUAUGGUGUUAAAAAUAAGCAGCAAAGUAACUAAAAUCACAUAAAGUCGAGUGUUUGAAAAAAUCCAGUUCCUGAGGUGAAAAUAUCAUUGGUUCUUAAAUAAUAUUUAGACUUACGUCAGAUCAUUUUCUAUGUUAUAUUUUAAUUGUAAAUAUAGCGUAUAAGGGUUUUUUUUAACUUAAAUUCAUAGAAGGCAGUGAACACAUAAAGAAAAUGUUAAAAAUAGUUUAGUCAUGAAAUCAUAGAACUGUAGAUGGAGGUGAUCUUAAAAAUUCACUUUAGCCAGCCUCCAAAACUCACAAUAGCCAAUUGUGGGCUAUUGUUAAAUGACCUUCUCAAUGUCAUGCAUAGUGGCACAGUUCUUUCUCUUCUUGGUUAAGCAUCACCACCUGCAACUGCAUACUGAUGGCAUGUCAGAAGCCUAAACUUUAACGAAGGCAUCAAACUGGUCCUAUAUACUUGCUAAGUACUCUUCAUUAUUAGCUCAGUAAUAACAAAACUGAAAUACAAGAAUGCCAUUUGACAACCAAAGAGAAGACCACUUAUCUAUCUAUGGAAAAUG